UCUUCGCAGCGAGCUAUUCUGUGUCACCCCUGACGCCACCGUACACGCACUCCGCCUUCCAGCGCGCUCCCGCGCGCGCCCGCCCAGCCACCUCCACCACGCGCCCGCGCUGUCCCCGAGGCUCCGGCUUAGGCGCGAGGACGCGCCCAUUCCCCCUCCUCCUCCAGCAGGAGAGGCCGCGGCUUCCCCAGCCUUCCCACCCUAACCCACCGCACCCAAUAGGCUGGCCGCUCAAGCCGCCCAGGUCCCGCACUGCCCCUCUUACCCGGCCGGCCACUGGGCCGGCCUCCCUUCCCUGCCCUAGCCGUCCACACCCACGCGUACAGAGGGGCCGGGGCCUCCCUCAAGCUGCGGCCUCGGCCUCCUCCCCGCGCGGCAGCUGGUGCCUCCCCGGCCCUACGGGGCUCACGCGCACGACACAGCCACAAGAUGUCCGCUCUGACGGAACUACUGCCAGCUGCCACGCUCCGCCCCUCCCCCUCCUCCUGCCUCUUCACCGCCGCAGAUCAGUCCGCCAACGCCGCCGUCCCGAGCACAGGACCGAUGUGAGGCCGAAGCCAGACGGCUUGCUUCCCACGUCCGGGGCCGAGUGAAUACGUGUCAAGCCCUUUUCCUUCUCCUUCUCGGAACAGCACCUUCUUACUAAACAGAUCGGAGAUUGGACCAGGAGGGCGGGGGAGGGAGGAGGAUCAUGAGCUGGGGGGAGGGUAAACGAGUGGCGGAAACCCUUAGGCUCAGAGAAGCAUCGAGAACCGGAAGGAGACCAUGGGAGGAAGGUAAAGGAAGCAGCCGCUGCGCGAUCCAGCCCCACGCCCCUCCCCACAGCGUCCCCCAGUUUCCUCACUUGGUAUCGAGGAGACGACUCUCGCGAGAACUUCGUGGCUGGCUAACCGAAGCGGUAGCUCUGCAAUGACUUAAGAGCAGUUUUGUGCGCUUUUCCUGACGGGGUUCCGCCCCCAAAAUGCGUACGUUCUCGCGAGACGCAGUAAGGCACCGGCUCGAACUGGGGCGGGCCACUGCCAGGAAAGCAACGCCCCUGAAUGCUUAUGCCGGUGGUUGGUAGAGGAAAUGGAAUUCCCCGGACUGUACCUCUUGACUUGCUACUGGUACCUGGAAGAGAUGUAACACCUGACCAUGGGACAUCAAGUGACUGUGUGAAUCAAACUGCCCAUCAUGAAUUGUUGUUAUUUGACUCAUCAAACUGUACAACCGGAUGAACACAGGAGCAGUGCACUACAUAUGGGACUGGAACCAUGAAUGAGCAGGUGACUCAGACUCCUAUAGUACCUGCCUCUACUCCUUCAGCACUUCUCCCUCAACCCACAUAAACUGUCAUCAUAAUGAGUUCCCUCUGACCAGUUAAUGGAAGAGAAAAAAGUAUGGAUGUUGUGGAUAUCCUAACAUAUUUCUG
Molecule: long non-coding RNA, 1411 nt
Filed under: Pan troglodytes (chimpanzee)
Lineage: Eukaryota; Metazoa; Chordata; Mammalia; Primates; Hominidae
Description: long non-coding RNA NONPTRT012627
Source: RNAcentral